This 253-nucleotide ribosomal RNA is filed under the name uncultured bacterium. RNAcentral's name for it is "partial 16S ribosomal RNA". It matches the Rfam family "Bacterial small subunit ribosomal RNA", at positions 524 to 776 of the family's 1533-position model. The record is from RNAcentral.
UACGUAGGGGGCAAGCGUUGUCCGGAUUUAUUGGGCGUAAAGAGCGUGUAGGCGGCCAUACAGGUCAGCUGUGAAAACUCGAGGCUCAACCUCGAGACGUCGGUUGAAACCGUAUGGCUAGAGUCCGGAAGAGGAGAGUGGAAUUCCCGGUGUAGUGGUGAAAUGCGUAGAUAUCGGGAGGAACACCGGUGGCGAAGGCGGUUCUCUGGGCCUGACCUGACGCUGAGGAGCGAAAGCGUGGGGAGCGAACAGG